CAGAACUCAAGGAAUUGACGGGGCCCGCACAAGCAGCGGAGCAUGUUGCUUAAUUCGAGGCAACGCGAAGAACCUUACCUGGGUUUGACAUGGUAGGAAAAGCCACAGAGAUGUGGUGUCCUUUUGGGCCUACUGCAGGUGGUGCAUGGCUGUCGUCAGCUCGUGUCGUGAGAUGUUGGGUUAAGUCCCGCAACGAGCGCAACCCUUGUCCUAUGUUGCCAGCACGUAAUGGUGGGGACUCGUAGGAGACUGCCGGGGUCAACUCGGAGGAAGGUGGGGACGACGUCAAGUCAUCAUGCCCCUUAUGUCCAGGGCUGCAAACAUGCUACAAUGGCUGGUACAAAGGGCAGCAAUACCGUGAGGUGGAGCGAAUCCCAAAAAGCCGGCCUCAGUUCGGAUCGAAGUCUGCAACUCGACUUCGUGAAGUUGGAAUCGCUAGUAAUCGCGUAUCAGAACGACGCGGUGAAUACGUUCCCGGGCCUU
Molecule: ribosomal RNA, 483 nt
Filed under: uncultured Iamia sp.
Lineage: Bacteria; Bacillati; Actinomycetota; Acidimicrobiia; Acidimicrobiales; Iamiaceae
Description: bacterial SSU rRNA
Rfam family: Bacterial small subunit ribosomal RNA
Source: RNAcentral